Molecule: ribosomal RNA, 202 nt
Filed under: Clostridioides difficile
Lineage: Bacteria; Bacillati; Bacillota; Clostridia; Peptostreptococcales; Peptostreptococcaceae
Description: partial 23S ribosomal RNA
Rfam family: Bacterial large subunit ribosomal RNA
Source: RNAcentral
GUGGGUAGCGGUGAAAUUCCAAUCGAGCCCGGAGAUAGCCUGGUUCUCCCCGAAAUAGCUUUAGGGCUAGCCUCAAGGUGAGAGAUACGGAGGUAGAGCACUGAAUGUCCUAGGGGGUAUUGCACCUACCGAAGACUAUCAAACUCCGAAUGCCGUCAUCUUAUACUUGGGAGUCAGACUGUGGGUGAUAAGAUUCAUAGUC